This 117-nucleotide non-coding RNA is filed under the name Nomascus leucogenys (northern white-cheeked gibbon). Lineage: Eukaryota; Metazoa; Chordata; Mammalia; Primates; Hylobatidae. The record is from Rfam by way of RNAcentral.
GCCGGGCGUGGUGGCUCACACCUGUAAUCCCAGCACUCUGGGAGGCCGAGGCAGGUGGAUCACCUGAGGUCAGGAGUUCGAGACCAGCCUGGCCAACAUGGUGAAACCCUGUCUCUA